UGGUUCUGGCAUCGAUGAAGAACGCAGCGAAAUGCGAUAAGUAAUGUGAAUUGCAGAAUUCAGUGAAUCAUCGAAUCUUUGAACGCACAUCGCGCCCUUUGGUAUUCCGAGGGGCAUGCCUGUUCGAGCGUCAUUACACCACUCAAGCCUGGCUUGGUAUUGGGCGACGGGAUCCCCCCGCGCCUCAAUUUGACCGGCUGGACCGACCGAUCCUCAGCGUUGUGGCAAUCAAUUCGCUAGGGGGAGGUUGGGACGCGCCGUUAAACAUUCAUCAAAGGUUGACCUCGGAUCAGGUAGGGAUACCCGCUGA
This 310-nucleotide unclassified non-coding RNA is filed under the name uncultured fungus. RNAcentral describes it as "partial contains 5.8S ribosomal RNA and internal transcribed spacer 2". The stretch from base 1 to 133 matches the Rfam family "5.8S ribosomal RNA", at positions 22 to 154 of the family's 154-position model. The record is from RNAcentral. Lineage: Eukaryota; Fungi.